CCCAUUCAUAAUAGUGGAAACAAGUAUCAUCAAUCACCCAUUCAUAAUAGUAGAAACAAGUAUCAUCAAUCACCCAUUCAUAAUAGUAGAAACAAGUAUCAUCAAUCACCCAUUCAUAAUAGUAGAAACAAGUAUCAUCAAUCACCCAUUCAUAAUAGUGGAAACAAGUAUCAUCAAUCACCCAUUCAUAAUAGUGGACUAUUCCACCCUGACAGAGUUCCAGUGAAUUGUUUCGCACCGUAUUGAUUGCAAACGCGACUUUCGUGAAAUUAAGCUGAAGCAAUGAGGUGUUUCAGAGCGGGGCAGCUGCAGCAAUGAGAUGCUUUCAGAGCGGGGCAGCUGCAGCAAUGAGAUGCUUUCAGAGCGGGGCAGCUGCAGCAAUGAGAUGCUUUCAGAGCGGGGCAGCUGCAGUAAUGAGGUGUUUCAGAGCGGGGCAGCUGCAGCAAUGAGAUGCUUUCGGAGCGGGGCAGCUGCAGCAAUGAGAUGCUUUCAGAGCGGGGCAGCUGCAGCAAUGAGGUGCUUUCAGAGCGGGGCAGCUGCAGCAAUGAGAUGCUUUCAGAGCGGGGCAGCUGCAGCAAUGAGAUGCUUUCAGAGUGGGGCAGCUGCAGCAAUUAUAUGCUUUCAGAGCGGGGCAGCUGCAGCAAUGAGAUGCUUUCAGAGCGGGGCAGCUGCAGUAAUGAGGUGUUUCAGAGCGGGGCAGCUGCAGCAAUGAGAUGCUUUCAGAGCGGGGCAGCUGCAGCAAUGAGAUGCUUUCAGAGCGGGGCAGCUGCAGCAAUGAGAUGCUUUCAGAGCGGGGCAGCUGCAGCAAUGAGAUGCUUUCAGAGCGGGGCAGCUGCAGCAAUGAGAUGCUUUCAGAGCGGGGCAGCUGCAGCAAUGAGAUGCUUUCAGAGCAGGGCAGCUGCAGUAAUGAGAUGCUUUCAGAGCAGGGCAGCUGCAGCAAUGAGAUGCUUUCAGAGCGGGGCAGCUGCAGUAAUGAGAUGCUUUCAGAGCGGGGCAGCUGCAGCAAUGAGAUGCUUUCAGAGCGGGGCAGCUGCAGUAAUGAGGUGUUUCAGAGCGGGGCAGCUGCAGCAAUGAGAUGAUUUCAGAGCGGGG
This 1092-nucleotide long non-coding RNA is filed under the name Salmo salar (Atlantic salmon). RNAcentral describes it as "lncRNA (ENSSSAG00000093731.1, ENSSSAG00000100758.1)". Lineage: Eukaryota; Metazoa; Chordata; Actinopteri; Salmoniformes; Salmonidae. The record is from RNAcentral.